Camelus ferus (Wild Bactrian camel) is the source of this 73-nucleotide non-coding RNA. The record is from Rfam. NCBI's taxonomy places the organism in Eukaryota, Metazoa, Chordata, Mammalia, Artiodactyla, Camelidae.
GGGUGGAUAAGCUCAGUGGUAGAACACAUGCCUGGCAUGCAUGAGGUCCUGGGUUCAAUCCCCAGUGCCUCCA